This 338-nucleotide ribosomal RNA is filed under the name uncultured bacterium. Its description in RNAcentral is "bacterial SSU rRNA". It matches the Rfam family "Bacterial small subunit ribosomal RNA", at positions 169 to 507 of the family's 1533-position model. The record is from RNAcentral.
ACUAAUAUAUUUGAUAAAGGCAUCUUAUUAAUAUUAAAGCUUCGGCACUUGAUGAUGGGUGUGCGGCUGAUUAGAUAGUUGGCGGGGUAACGGGCCCACCAAGUCUACGAUCAGUAGCUGAUGUGAGAGCAUGAUCAGCCACACGGGUACUGAGACACGGGCCCGACUCCUACGGGAGGCAGCAGUAAGGAAUAUUGGACAAUGGACGAAAGUCUGAUCCAGCCAUGCCGCGUGAAGGAUUAAGGUCCUCUGGAUUGUAAACUUCUUUAUAUGGGACGAAAAAGGGCAUUCUUGUUCACUUGACGGUACCAUAUGAAUAAGCACCGGCUAACUCCGUG